GUGCUGUGUCAAGUAUCACAUUGGGCACACACUUCUCAUAGAAAAGAAGAAUCUAUCAUUAAAAUGCGUACUAUCAACUUAAUUUUAAGAUAACCUUAAUUUUAAUUAUGUUAGAAAAAUGCUACCUAUGAGAUUAUUGCAUUUUUAAGUUAAAAUACUCAACCUCAUUACUUGUUUUAUUCUCUCGUCCCUGACACUCUCAAAGAUUUUCAUUAUGCCCACUUUAAAACUGCGGUUGUUAAACCACCAUGCAUGGUGACAUCACUAAUUAGUCUGACAGCGGUGAGAAGAUUGCUUUUGGAGUGUGUAAAAAUAUCUGACACUGAUCUCUGCAGAAGUGAUCAACUAUGCAUUCUCUUGCCAUACGGUAUACUGAUGUUUAAAUUAUAUCAGCACAAUGGGUUGUGACACCGGAUACUGAAGCUUUAGGGGGUUCUAAUAUAUAUUUUCAGAUCCACACAGUACACUGUUUAGUGAAUAAAUUGAAUCUCUUAGCAAUCUUCUCCCACGGCUAAAAUUGACACAAACAUAGCUGGCACUGCCAUAGACCAGCAGCUUAGUUAAAAACAUUCAUGAGACAAUUCUAUAUAUCUAUUAAAAAAAAAAAAAAUCAGAAAAAUAAGAUUCAAUGGAUC
Non-coding RNA from Pelobates cultripes (western spadefoot toad), 635 nucleotides. Lineage: Eukaryota; Metazoa; Chordata; Amphibia; Anura; Pelobatidae. The record is from the annotation of a GenBank genome assembly.